CACAAGCGGUGGAGUAUGUGGUUAAUUCGACGCAACGCGCAGAACCUUACCUAGACUUGACAUCCCGGGGAUUUUCUGGAAACAGAGAAGUGCUUUAGCAAUAAAGAACCCGGUGACAGGUGCUGCAUGGCUGUCGUCAGCUCGUGUCGUGAGAUGUUGGGUUAAGUCCCGCAACGAGCGCAACCCUCGCCUUUAGUUGCCAGCAUUCAGUUGGGCACUCUAGAGGGACUGCCGGUGUCAAACCGGAAGAAGGUGGGGAUGACGUCAAGUCCUCAUGGCCUUUAUGUCUAGGGCUACACACGUACUACAAUGGCCGGUACAAAGGGCAGCCACUCAGCGAUGAGGCGCUAAUCCCAUAAAGCCGGUCUCAGUCCGGAUCGCAGUCUGCAACUCGACUGCGUGAAGUUGGAAUCGCUAGUAAUCGUAGAUCAGCAUGCUGCGGUGAAUACGUUCCCGGGCCUU
RNAcentral lists this ribosomal RNA (462 nucleotides) under uncultured Desulfovibrio sp. RNAcentral's name for it is "bacterial SSU rRNA". It matches the Rfam family "Bacterial small subunit ribosomal RNA", at positions 924 to 1382 of the family's 1533-position model. Lineage: Bacteria; Pseudomonadati; Thermodesulfobacteriota; Desulfovibrionia; Desulfovibrionales; Desulfovibrionaceae. The record is from RNAcentral.